This 52-nucleotide ribosomal RNA is filed under the name Ochrocladosporium elatum. RNAcentral describes it as "partial 18S ribosomal RNA". Lineage: Eukaryota; Fungi; Ascomycota; Dothideomycetes; Pleosporales. The record is from RNAcentral.
AAAGUUCGUCAAACUCGGUCAUUUAGAGAAGUAAAAGUCGUACAAGGUUUCC